AUGUUCCAAACGAACUGCUCAACAGAGGUUAAUGAGCACGGAGGUUCCAAAGACGAUUUGCUGAUGCUCUUUCCCAAACUCAGCUUGAUCCCGUUCCUCACAUGGUACAUGUGGAUGCCAAGAGGCUGCGACGGUGUUACUCAAUCCCCGUUGAACCGGUAUCCAAGGUGUUCGACGACGACGACAACCUCCUCAUUGAGACCAUCGUCUGCCUCGGAUUCCCCACCACCCUCAUUUGCGCCUCCCUAUUCUGCAAGCGCUGGCUUUGGCAUGCCUCCGACCCCGCUAUCCUCUGUCGCUUCCAGCUCGACGCCGUCAUUCUCCAUGCAAACUUUAGCUUGGACACAUACAAGGGCAUUAGAAUUCACAUUGUGGACUGUUGAAACGGCAACAUCUUCAUCUGCAGCAGGACAUCCUCAUGUAUAG
This 426-nucleotide ribosomal RNA is filed under the name Triticum aestivum (bread wheat). Its description in RNAcentral is "partial small subunit ribosomal RNA". Lineage: Eukaryota; Viridiplantae; Streptophyta; Magnoliopsida; Poales; Poaceae. The record is from RNAcentral.